Molecule: ribosomal RNA, 253 nt
Filed under: uncultured bacterium
Lineage: Bacteria
Description: partial 16S ribosomal RNA
Rfam family: Bacterial small subunit ribosomal RNA
Source: RNAcentral
UACAGAGGGUGCAAGCGUUGUUCGGAAUUAUUGGGCGUAAAGCGCGUGUAGGCGGCUUUGCAAGUCGGGUGUGAAAGCCCUCAGCUUAACUGAGGAAGUGCGCCCGAAACUGCAGAGCUUGAGUACCGGAGAGGAUGGCGGAAUUCCUGGUGUAGAGGUGAAAUUCGUAGAUAUCAGGAGGAACAUCGGUGGCGAAGGCGGCUUUCUGGACACUAACUGACGCUGAGACGCGAAAGCGUGGGGAGCAAACAGG